This 497-nucleotide ribosomal RNA is filed under the name uncultured bacterium. RNAcentral describes it as "partial 16S ribosomal RNA". It matches the Rfam family "Bacterial small subunit ribosomal RNA", at positions 28 to 507 of the family's 1533-position model. The record is from RNAcentral.
GAUGAACGCUGGCGGCGUGCCUAAUACAUGCAAGUCGAGCGAACGGACGAGAAGCUUGCUUCUCUGACGUUAGCGGAGGACGGGAGAGAAACACGUGGAACACCUACCUAUAUGACUGGGAUCACUUCGGGAAACCGGCGAUUAUACCGGAUAAUAUUUUGAACCGUAUGGUUCAAAAGUGAAAGACGGUCUUGCGGUCACUUAUAGAUGCAUCCGCGCUGCAUUAGCUAGUUGGGAAGGUCAAGGCUUAUCACGGCAAGGAUGCGUAGCCGACCUGUGAGAGUGAUCGGCGACACGGGAGCGUGAACACGGUCCAGACUCCUACGGUACGCAGCAGUAGGGAAUCGGACGCAAUGGUCGGAAGCCUUACGGAGCGACGCCGCGUGAGUGGUGGAGGUCUUCGGUUCGUAAUACUCUGUUAUUAGUUGAGAACAGAUGUGUAAGGAGCUGUGCAGAUCUUGACGGUACCUAGUCAGAAAGCCCCGGCUAACUACGUG